This 396-nucleotide long non-coding RNA is filed under the name Hordeum vulgare. RNAcentral's name for it is "long non-coding RNA (HVUL_LNC011719)". Lineage: Eukaryota; Viridiplantae; Streptophyta; Magnoliopsida; Poales; Poaceae. The record is from RNAcentral.
GUUCCUUCAAGUAGGUCAACCUACACAUAUAAAAAAGUAGCCCAAUCCGUACAUGUAUAACCAUUAGAUUAAGUACCACCCUUGCCCACUCAAAGCUUAUAAGAACUAUCGUCCAAGGUCGUUUUUACUUCUAACGUAGAGAAAAAUAGAUGCACCUCUCUCCUGAGUGAUUAACCAAAAACUAUCAUAAUUCACGCCAACGUGUCCAGGAGCUACCACAAUUCGUGCCGAAAACUAUCAAUUUUCUGCUAAUUAGUGACAAAAACUAUCAAGUGUGUAAAACGUCUGAUUUGACUCGUUUAAACUCGAUUAUGACAGGGUUGAUCCACACGUCAGGACGGAAAGAUCAGCACCGUUAAGUUUGCCGUGACCGGAGAAAGAGAUCGACACGGCGGC